CUGUGGGUGGAGCCUUGAUCUAGAGAGGAACUGGGUCUUGGGUCCAUCCGGUCUCCGGUGCCUGGGUCCGUAGAGUUCUGGUGAGACUAGAUCUGGCCAUACUGCUACGUUAUCUCUUUCAUCUCUUAGCACGCAUUUUUGUUCUGCUUUUUCAGCUGCUGGUGCAGUUGUUUCUAGAUCCAGUCAGCAACCCACUAUGCCUCUCCCUGUUGCGCUGCAGACCCGCUUGGCAAAGAGGGGCAUCCUCAAACAUCUGGAGCCAGAGCCAGAGGAAGAGAUUAUUGCUGAGGAUUACGAUG
Molecule: long non-coding RNA, 299 nt
Filed under: Rattus norvegicus (Norway rat)
Lineage: Eukaryota; Metazoa; Chordata; Mammalia; Rodentia; Muridae
Description: long non-coding RNA NONRATT030449
Source: RNAcentral